Molecule: unclassified non-coding RNA, 229 nt
Filed under: Hevea brasiliensis (rubber tree)
Lineage: Eukaryota; Viridiplantae; Streptophyta; Magnoliopsida; Malpighiales; Euphorbiaceae
Source: RNAcentral
AAUGCAUCCAAGCAAAUGUCUCGCGCACAUAUUCCUUGGACUUGAAGCUUUGCAUCAGCUUAAUAACCUGCAGAUUAGGCACAUCGAUUUCUGGGUGCUUGGCCAAAUUGUAGUCCUUCUUGGCAUAGCAGACCCCCUCUUGAAAGAGAUAUUUGGAGAUUUCCCUACGGUUUUUUUCUGAAAUAAUCAUGGUUGAAGCUCAGCAAGAACUGAAGACAGCAGCAGUAGA